This is a long non-coding RNA of Lagenorhynchus albirostris (white-beaked dolphin), 834 nucleotides long. RefSeq lists it as uncharacterized. The record is from RefSeq and is a predicted model, not a curated record. The transcript is spliced from 3 exons. NCBI's taxonomy places the organism in Eukaryota, Metazoa, Chordata, Mammalia, Artiodactyla, Delphinidae.
ACGUGCCACAACUACUGAGCUGUCGUUCCUCAACUAGAACCCGUGUACCACAAGCUACAAAGCCCACGUGCCCUGGAGCCUGUGCGCCACAACUAGACUAGAGAAAAACCUGGACACCACAACUAGAGAGAAGCCCGCACACCACAACCAAGAGCCUGCAUGCCUAAACGAAGAUCCUGAGUGCCACAACUAAGACCCGACGCAGCCAAAAAUAAAUAAAUAAAUAAUAACUCUUUUUAAAAAAUGUGGCCUACAGCACAGAGGCACACAAGACAGCUGGAGCAGGGCCCCCCUGCCCCAGGGCACAUUCUGAGGGCUGCCUUUCUGGGAGCAUUGCCUUAACUCAGGAGUAAAUAGAACUGCUGGCACACAGCAUCUGGCAUGGAGUGAACAGGCAAGAAGAGUUACUGACUGGAGGAGGGAGAGGAGGUGGGAGAUGGCAGAGCUGAAGGAUCGUCAGCAAUUGGAGAUGGAGAGCAAGCUGCAAUUUCACUCACAUUGGUGGAAUGCACUUCGGAAUCUUUGAAAGUUUGCAACUUGAAGGAAUCAACCUAGCACAGCUGUGCUGGUAACUUGUAAAUUCCUACACCUGGAACCUCCAAGUCUGAAGACACCACACUUCCAGCUUUGCUCUAUUCGAAUGACCUUUUUGUGAAAACUCAAAACACUUUCUACAAAAUGCUUAUAUAAGGAGGCACCAAAGGGCAUGCCCGGGAGAGCCCGCACCAGCUCCCCGGAAUCCGGGGAGGCGCCCCUGCCCCGCUGCACCCAUCCCGUCCAUCUGUUUCUCACUUGCCUGCUGAAGACACUCGGUUGUUUCAGCUUUUGGUUAUU